GACGAACGCUGGCGGCGUGCUUAACACAUGCAAGUCGAACGGAAAGGCCCUGCUUUUGUGGGGUGCUCGAGUGGCGAACGGGUGAGUAACACGUGAGUAACCUGCCCUUGACUUUGGGAUAACUUCAGGAAACUGGGGCUAAUACCGGAUAGGAGCUCCUGCUGCAUGGUGGGGGGUGGAAAGUUUCGGCGGUUGGGGAUGGACUCGCGGCUUAUCAGCUUGUUGGUGGGGUAGUGGCUUACCAAGGAUUUGACGGGUAGCCGGCCUGAGAGGGUGACCGGCGACAUUGGGACUGAGAGACGGCCCAGACUCCUACGUGAGGCAGCAGUGGGGAAUAUUGCACAAUGGGCGGAAGCCUGAUGCAGCAACGCCGCGUGUGGGAUGACGGCCUUCGGGUUGUAAACCGCUUUCGCCUGUGACGAAGCGUGAGUGACGGUAAUGGGUAAAGAAGCACCGGCUAACUACGUG
RNAcentral lists this ribosomal RNA (468 nucleotides) under uncultured bacterium. Its description in RNAcentral is "partial 16S ribosomal RNA". It matches the Rfam family "Bacterial small subunit ribosomal RNA", at positions 28 to 507 of the family's 1533-position model. The record is from RNAcentral.